Molecule: transfer RNA, 86 nt
Filed under: Candidatus Falkowbacteria bacterium CG_4_10_14_0_2_um_filter_41_15
Lineage: Bacteria; Candidatus Falkowiibacteriota
Also listed under: 1 other name
Description: tRNA-Tyr
Rfam family: tRNA
About the family: Transfer RNA (tRNA) molecules are approximately 80 nucleotides in length. Their secondary structure includes four short double-helical elements and three loops (D, anti-codon, and T loops). Further hydrogen bonds mediate the characteristic L-shaped molecular structure. tRNAs have two regions of fundamental functional importance: the anti-codon, which is responsible for specific mRNA codon recognition, and the 3' end, to which the tRNAs corresponding amino acid is attached (by aminoacyl-tRNA synthetases). tRNAs cope with the degeneracy of the genetic code in two manners: having more than one tRNA (with a specific anti-codon) for a particular amino acid; and 'wobble' base-pairing, i.e. permitting non-standard base-pairing at the 3rd anti-codon position.
Source: RNAcentral
GGGUCGAUACCAAAGCGGUCAACUGGGGCAGACUGUAAAUCUGCUGGCAUCAGCCUUCGCAGGUCCGAAUCCUGCUCGGCCCACAA